GCUGGGCAUGGUGGCAUAUCCCUAUGGUCCCAGCCACUCAGGAGGCUGAGGCAGGAGGAUCACUUGAGCCUAGGGAUUCGGGGCUAUAGUACACUCUGCCAAUUGAGUGUUCCACACUAAAUUCAGCUUCAAUAUGGUGAUCUCCCAGGAGCAGGGGACCACCAAGUUGCCUAAAGAGGAAUGAACCGGCCUAGGUCAGAAACAGAGCAGGCAAAACUCCCAUACUGAUCAGAAGUGGGACUGUGCCUGCCAGUAACCACUGCAUUCCAGCCUGGGAAACACAGUGAGAUCCCAUCUCU
This is an unclassified non-coding RNA of Aotus nancymaae (Ma's night monkey), 299 nucleotides long. It matches the Rfam family "Metazoan signal recognition particle RNA". From Rfam's summary of the family: The signal recognition particle (SRP) is a universally conserved ribonucleoprotein. It is involved in the co-translational targeting of proteins to membranes. The record is from Ensembl. Lineage: Eukaryota; Metazoa; Chordata; Mammalia; Primates; Aotidae.